CUACUAUUGUGAGGCUCAGAAUAAACAUGGAUCUCAGAGAUCAGCAUCUGUGUCUGUAACAUCUACAGGUAUUAAUAUGAGACUCUUACUGAACUCUGCUGGUGUCACGAGCAUCAUUUGAAAUGAUGUUUCUCUUCACUCAGGUGGCCAGAAAACCCUUCUGUAUGCAGUGGCUGGAAUCGGGGCGGCGCUCAUCAGCAUCUGUAUUAUUAUUGUAGUUAUAAAAAUCAGCAGCAGGAAAAUAGGAGACGCCGGCGGCCAAAGUGGCGUUUCAAAACAGGCAAGUCCAGAAUAGCAUCUGUUUCAGCACAUUUUCAUGUAAUUGUGAUCACAGUGGGAUCAUCCGGAUUGUGCGUGUUAAUUCAGGAAAACAACAGCACAGCCGUGACGGAUCAGACGAGCGUGAAACCUUCGAAAACAGCUGAUCCGAAUGACUUGGUGUAUGCCAGCGUCACCCACAGCAGACCCAGAGAACCCCAGAGAGCUGGAGAUGAAGACGAGUUUCAGUACGCCAGCGUCCAGCACCACAGAAACACCAGGUACACGACUGUGGAGGCCGGAUGUCAAUAUGGAAACACUGUUUCUGCCGGAUCAAAUGCUGAAAAGGCGGAUGAUUCCGAUGUGAUCUACAGCAGCAUCAAAGUUGCAUGAAGAAUCGGAGCAUCACUGAACAUGCUCCUCCAUUUUCCUACAUUGAAGUGGGCAUUAAAUAGAAGUUGCGACUAAAAAGCGAUUCCGCUUAACAAACAAGACUUUAUUGUAUACAUCGGAUAGGCCUACAUAUGGAUGGAUCGAGCACAGAAAGAUGCAUUAAGAAAAUAAAUAGGGUGAAUUUAAAUUUUUACUUUGUAUUGACGUUUGAGUUGAAAUGCGCUUGUGUGACCGUGUGCGGUGACUUUAAAUACACAACACUUGUGUGAGAAACAGGACGUGAAACUAUAAGAGCUGUGAGCAAGCAUAUGCAAAACUUCCAUUUCUGAAUGGAGGAGAGGUUUAAUUACGCUGAAUAAACUGCUUUUGUGAGGAGACUUACGCUUAACAUUUUAUAGUCGGCUAAUCUUUGCCAAAAAUGUUUUGUCAAAGCAAACAUGUUUAGCAUGUUCUCACACAAGUCUUUAACAAUAGUGAAUUGGAUGCUGUAUUUACUUCUUGCAUUGUCUGAAACUCUAUUCUUAUUUCUAAAGGUGAACUGACUUGUUGAGAAGAGGCGCAAACACUGAGAUAGAGGAAGGCUGGCGUUCAUUUUUGAUGUGAUAUUCAUUAAUAGUUCAGCAGUUUAGCAGCAGUUUAACUUCCCGUCAUGCUGCUGUUCUUAUCAUUUCUUAUCUGUGACCAUUCCUUCAUGUUUAUACUACGUUUAGAAGAGUUAAAAAUGUAUAGAAAGGAUUGA
Molecule: long non-coding RNA, 1390 nt
Filed under: Sinocyclocheilus grahami
Lineage: Eukaryota; Metazoa; Chordata; Actinopteri; Cypriniformes; Cyprinidae
Description: lncRNA (ENSSGRG00000025380.1)
Source: RNAcentral